Molecule: ribosomal RNA, 3078 nt
Filed under: Saccharum spontaneum (wild sugarcane)
Lineage: Eukaryota; Viridiplantae; Streptophyta; Magnoliopsida; Poales; Poaceae
Description: eukaryotic LSU rRNA
Rfam family: Eukaryotic large subunit ribosomal RNA (bases 142-2882)
Source: RNAcentral
AGUUGGGGCUGCCGGCGAAUCGUGUCGGGCACAGCACGUGGUGGGCGACACUCAGUUGUUCUCGGUGCCGCGCCUCGGCACGUAGCUGGGCAUCGGCCCUAAGGACCCAUGGAGCACCGCAGCGCAUAGCCGCUCGGACCGUGAACCCAGGUCAGUCGGGACUACCCGCUGAGUUUAAGCAUAUAAAUAAGCGGAGGAGAAGAAACUUACAAGGAUUCCCCUAGUAACGACGAGCGAACCGGGACCAGCCCAGCUUGAGAAUCGGGUGGCUUCGUCAACCGAAUUGUAGUCUAGAGAGGCGUCCUCAGCGAUGGACCGAGCCCAAGUUCCCUAGAAAGGGACGCCUAGGAGGGUGAGAGCCCUGUCUAGCCCGGAAAAAAAAAAAAACAAAACCCUGCGACCACGAGGCGCCGUCAACGAGUUGGGUUGUUUGGGAAUGCAGCCCAAAUCGGGCGGUAAACUCCGUCCAAGGCUAAAUACAGGCGAGAGACUAAUAGCGAAUAGGUACCGCGAGGGAAAGAUGAAAAGGACUUUGAAUAGAGAGUCAAAGGGUGCUUGAAAUUGCCAGGAGGAAAGCGGAUGGGGGCUGGCAAUGCGCCCUGGUCAUAUGCGGAACGGCUUCUGCUGGUCCGUUGAUCGCCGCGCCUGUGGCCUAAGCCCGGGGGCCCUAGGCGCCUCCGGCAGCCGUCGUCGGCACGGCCAGUCUUUGCACGCCACAAGGCGCGCCCCUCGGGGCGCUGCGCUGCAACAGCCUAUGAGCUCCCCAUCUGACCCGUCUUAAAACACGGACCAAGGAGUCUGACAUGCGUGCGAGUCGACGGGUUCUGAAACCUGGGAUGCACAAGGAAGCUGAUGAGCAGGAGGCACUCACGGGCCGCACCGCUGGCCGACCCUGAUCUUCUGUGAAGGGUUCGAGUUGGAGCACGCCUGUUGGGACCCAAAAGAUGGUGAACUAUGCCUGAGCAGGGCGAAGCCAGAGGAAACUCUGGUGGAGGCUCGAAGCGAUACUGAUGUGCAAAUCGUUCGUCUGACUUGGGUAUAGUGGUGAAAGACUAAUCGAACCAUCUAGUAGCUGGUUCCCUCCGAAGUUUCCCUCAGGAUAGCUGGAGCCCAUUACGAGUUCUAUCGGGUAAAGCCAAUGAUUAGAGGCAUCGGGGGCACAACGCCCUCGACCUAUUCUCAAACUUUAAAUAGGUAGGACGGCACGGCUGCUCUGGUGAUCCGUGCCACGGAAUCAGGAGCUCCAAGUGGACCAUUUUUGGUAAGCAGAACUGGCGAUGCAGGAUAAACCAGAAGCCAGGUUACGGUGCCAAACUGCGCGCUAACCUAGAACCCACAAAGGGUGUUGGUCGAUUAAGACAGCGGGACGGUGGUCAUGGAAGUCGAAAUCCGCUAAGGAGUGUGUAACAACUCACCUGCCGAAUCAACUAGCCUCGAAAAUGGAUGGUGCUGAAGCGCGCGACCCACACCCGGCCAUCUGGGCGAGCGCCAUGCCCUGAUGAGUAGGAGGGCGCGGCGACCACCGCAAAACCCGGGGCGCGAGCCCGGGCGCGAGCGGCCGUCGGUGCAGAUCUUGGUGGUAGUAGCAAAUAUUCAAAUGAGAACUUUGAUGGCCGAAGAGGAGAAAGGUUCCAUGUGAACGACACUUGCACAUGGGUAAGCUGAUCCUAAGGGAUGGGGUAACCCCGGCAGACAGCGCGAUCUCGCGCGUCCCCUGAAAUGGAAUCGGGUUAAGAUUUCCUGAGCUGGGACAUGGCGGUUGACGGCGACGUUAGGAAGUCCAGAGAUGCUGGCGGGGGCCUCAGGAAGAGUUAUCUUUUCUGCUUAAUGGUCUGCCAACCCUGGAAUCGGUUUUACCAGAGGUAGGGACCAACGGUCGGAAGAGCACCGCACGUCGCGCGGUGUCUGGUGCGCCCCCAGCGGCCCUUGAAAAUCCGGAGGACUGAGUACCGUCCAUGCCCGGUCGUACUCAUAACCGCAUCAGGUCUCCGAGGUGAACAACCUCUGGCCAAUGGAAUAAUGUAGGCAAGGGAAGUCGGCAAAACGGAUCCAUAACUUCAGGAAAAGGAUUGGCUUUGAGGGUUGGGCUCGGGGGUCCCGGCCCCAAACCCGUCGGCUGUCGGCGGACUGCUCGAACUGCUCCCGCGGCGAGAGCGGGCUGCCGCGUGUCGGCCGGGGGACUGACCGGGAACGGUCUCUUCGGAGGGCCUUCCCCGAGCGUCGAAUGACCAACUCAGAACUGGUGCGAACAAGGGGAAUCCGACUGUUUAAUUAAAACAAAGAAUUGCGAUGGUCCCCACGGAUGCUGACGCAAUGUGAUUUCUACCCAGUGCUCUGAAUGUCAAAGUGAAGAAAUUCAACCAAGCGUGGGUAAACGGUGGGAGUAACUAUGACUCUCUUAAGGUAGCCAAAUGCCCCAUCAUCUAAUUAGUGACCCGCAUGAAUGGAUUAACGAGAUUCCCACUGUCCCUGUCUACUAUCCAGCGAAACCACAGCCAAGGGAACGGGACGAAGACUGCCGUCGUGUGUUGACAAGAUGUGCUCUAGAAGUUUUAAUUGGUCUUCCAACAGGUCAUCAAGUGGUACCUGAACAUAUUCUCUAGAGUCAAACUACAACAGCUGAUACAGUGAAGGAAACUCUUAGAGCUGCUAUGAUAACUGCUGCUCUUGAGGAUAAAAAAUGGAAUCUAAAAGCUGUUGCAAAAGCUUGUGAAAAUGCUAAGUCGCAAGAUGACCACAUGCUUUAAGUCUGGCUUUUUAUAGCCACUAUGUUCGAGUUUGGAUUCUUCGCAAGCUCUUCAUUGUAUCUUCGUGUUAAAACCCUGGAAGCUGUGUCUGAUAUAAAGCUUCUAGGGUUUUAACACGAAGAUACAAUGAAGAGCUUGCGAAGAAUCUAAACUCGAACAUAGCGGCUAUAAAAAGCCUGGCUUGCAGCAUGUGGUCAUCUUGCGACUUAGCAUUUUCACAAGCUUUUGCAACAGCUUUUAGAUUCCAUUUUUUAUCCUCCCCAGCAGCAGUUAUCAUAGCAGCUCUAAGAGUUUCCUUCACUGUAUCAGCUGUUGUAGUUUGACUCUGGAG